RNAcentral lists this long non-coding RNA (1026 nucleotides) under Homo sapiens (human). RNAcentral describes it as "non-protein coding lnc-CCDC150-4:1". Lineage: Eukaryota; Metazoa; Chordata; Mammalia; Primates; Hominidae. The record is from RNAcentral.
AGAGCAGUUGAGAAAAUUGUUUAUUGGUGGCCUGACUCUGAAACUACAGAUGAUACUUUAAGAGAACAUUUUGAGAAAUGGGGCACAUUCACAGGUUGUGUGGUAAUAAAAGACCCCCGAACAAAAUGUUCCAGGGGCUUUGGUUUUGUGACCUACUCUUGUGUUGAAGAGGUAGAUGCUUGACCACAUAGCAUUGAUGAGCAUGUAGAGGAACCAGAGAGCUGUUUCUAGGGAAGAUUCUGCAAAGCCUGCUGCCCAUCUAACAGCGAAGAAAAUAUUUGUUGGUGGUAUUAAAGAAGAUAUAGAGGAAUAGAAUUUGAGAGACCAUUUUAAAAGGUAUGGCAAGAUUACAACCACAGAAGUUAUGGAAGACAGGCAGAUUGGAAAAAAAGAGAGGAUUUGCUUUUGUAACUUUUGAUGAUCAUGCUACAGUUGAUAAAACUGUCAUUCAGAAACACCACAAUAUUAAUAGGCAUAACUUGGAAGUGAAAGAGACCCAUUCUAUACAAGAGAUGCAGUCUGCUGGAUUGCAGAGAGGUCGUGGAGGUGGAUCUGGCAAUUUUAUGGGUGGUAGAGGAAACUUUGGAGAUGGAGGAAGUAAUUUUGGCUGUGGUAGAAACUUUGGUGGAAGAAGAGGCUAUGGUGGUGAAGGUGGUGGCAGCAGAGGUAGUUAUGGAGGAGGUGAUGGUGGGUGUAAUGGAUUUGGAGGUGAUGGUGGCACCUAUGAUGGUGGUCCUGGUUCUAGUGGUAGAGGGGGCUAUGGUGGUGGUGGACCAGGAUAUAGAAACCAAGGGGGUAGAUAUGGUGGUGGGGGAUAUGGUGGUUACAAUGAAGGAGGAAACUUUGGUGGUGGUACCUGUGGUGGUGGUGGGAACAAUAAUGAUUCUGGAAAUUAUAGUGGGCGACAGCAAUCAAAUUUUGGAUCCAUGAAAGGGGGUAGUUUUGGUGGAAGAAGCUCAGACAGUCCCUAUGGUGGUGGUUGGGUCUGGUGGUGGAAGUGGUGGAUAUGGUAGCAGAAGUUUCUAA